Molecule: ribosomal RNA, 1239 nt
Filed under: metagenome
Description: bacterial LSU rRNA
Rfam family: Bacterial large subunit ribosomal RNA
Source: RNAcentral
GAGAGUAUCCUAAGGCCAGCGAGAGAACUAUUGUUAAGGAACUCGGCAAAAUGACCCCGUAACUUAGGGAGAAGGGGUGCCUGUCUAUGACAGGCCGCAGAGGACAGGCCCAAGCGACUGUUUACCAAAAACACAGGUUUCUGCUAAGUCGCAAGACGAUGUAUAGGAGCUGACGCCUGCCCGGUGCUGGAAGGUUAAGGGGAUCUGUUAGAGCAUUCGAAGCAGUGAACUUAAGCCCCAGUAAACGGCGGCCGUAACAAUAACGGUCCUAAGGUAGCGAAAUUCCUUAUCGGGUAAGUUCCGACCCGCACGAAAGGCGUAACGAUUUGGGCACUGUCUCAACAAUAGACUCGGUGAAAUUGUAAUCCCGGUGAAGAUGCCGGGUACCUGCGACAGGACGGAAAGACCCCAUGGAGCUUUACUGUAGCUUGACGUUGGGUCUUGGUACUACAUGUACAGGAUAGGUGGGAGACUAUGAAGCAUGGACGCCAGUCUGUGUGGAGUCAUCCUUGGGAUACCACCCUUGUAGUACUGGGAUCCUAACCAUAGGCCUUGAAUCAGGUCUUGGAACACCGUCAGGUGGGCAGUUUGACUGGGGCGGUCGCCUCCUAAAAAGUAACGGAGGCGCUCAAAGGUUUCCUCAGCACGGUCGGAAAUCGUGCGAAGAGUGUAAAGGCAAAAGGAAGCUUGAUUGCAAGACAUACAGGUCGAGCAAGGACGAAAGUCGGACUUAGUGAUCCGGUGGUACCGCAUGGAAGGGCCAUCGCUCAACGGAUAAAAGCUACCCUGGGGAUAACAGGCUUAUCUCCCCCAAGAGUCCACAUCGACGGGGAGGUUUGGCACCUCGAUGUCGGCUCAUCACAUCCUGGGGCUGUAGUAGGUCCCAAGGGUUGGGCUGUUCGCCCAUUAAAGUGGUACGCGAGCUGGGUUCAGAACGUCGUGAGACAGUUCGGUCCCUAUCCGUCGCAGGCGUAGGAAAUUUGAGAAGACCUGUCUUUAGUACGAGAGGACCGGGAUGGACGUACCUCUGGUGUACCAGUUGUUCUGCCAAGGGCAUGGCUGGGUAGCUAUGUACGGGAUGGAUAAGCGCUGAAAGCAUCUAAGCGCGAAGCCAACUCCAAGAUAAGAUUUCCCACCGUAAGGGUAAGACCCCAGGAAGACUACCUGGUUGAUAGGUCGAAGGUGUAAGUGCGGUAAUGUAUUUAGCUUAUCGAUACUAAUAGGUCGAGGACUUGACCG